GACGAACGCUGGCGGCGUGCUUAACACAUGCAAGUCGAACGGAAAGGCCCUGCUUUUUUGGUGUGCUCGAGUGGCGAACGGGUGAGUAACACGUGAGUAACCUGCCCUUGACUUUGGGAUAACUUCAGGAAACUGGGGCUAAUUCCUGCUAGGAGCUCCUGCUUCAUGGUGGGGGUUGGAAAGUUUCGGCGGUUGGGGAUGGACUCGCGGCUUAUCAGCUUGUUGGUGGGGUAGUGGCUUACCAAGGCUUUGACGGGUAGCCGGCCUGAGAGGGUGACCGGGCACAGAGGGACUGGGAUACGGCCCAGACGCAUACGGGAGGCAGCAGUGGGGAAUAGUGCAAGAUGGGCGGAAGCCUGAUGCAGCAACGCCGCGUGCGGGAUGACGGCCUUCGGGUUGUAAACCGCUUUCGCCGGUGACGAAGAGUGAGUGACGGUAAUGGGUAAAGAAGCACCGGCUAACUACGUG
Molecule: ribosomal RNA, 468 nt
Filed under: uncultured bacterium
Lineage: Bacteria
Description: partial 16S ribosomal RNA
Rfam family: Bacterial small subunit ribosomal RNA
Source: RNAcentral